RNAcentral lists this ribosomal RNA (253 nucleotides) under uncultured bacterium. RNAcentral's name for it is "partial 16S ribosomal RNA". It matches the Rfam family "Bacterial small subunit ribosomal RNA", at positions 524 to 776 of the family's 1533-position model. The record is from RNAcentral.
UACGUAGGCAGCGAGCGUUGUUCGGAAUUACUGGGCGUAAAGAGUGUGUAGGCGGUGCUCCCAGUCUGUUGUGAAAUCUCCCGGCUUAACUGGGAGGGUGCAGCGGAAACUAGAGUGCUAGAGGGUGGGAGAGGUAAGCGGAAUUCCUGGUGUAGCGGUGAAAUGCGCAGAUAUCGGGAGGAACACCAGUGGCGAAGGCGGCACUCUGGGCCGGAACUGACGCUGAGGAGCGAAAGCGUGGGGAGCGAACAGG